Molecule: ribosomal RNA, 424 nt
Filed under: uncultured eukaryote
Lineage: Eukaryota
Description: SSU rRNA
Rfam family: Eukaryotic small subunit ribosomal RNA
Source: RNAcentral
CAAUAGCGUAUAUUAAAGUUGUUGCGGUUAAAAGCUCGUAGUUGGAUUUCUGUUGAGGUCGACCGGUGUACACUUCGUGUAUUAUCAGGUUCGGUCUCGGCAUCCUCCAGGGGAACGUUUCUGGACUUUAUUGGACAGGGCGAGAUUCUGGACUUUUACUUUGAGGAAAUUAGAGUGUUCACAGCAGGCAAGUGCUUUGAAUACAUUAGCAUGGAAUAAUAAUAUAGGACCUUCGUUCUAUUUUGUUGGUUUCUAGAACUUAGGUAAUGAUUAAUAGGGACAAUUGGGGCGAUUCGUAUUAACGCGUCAGAGGUGGGAAUUCUUGGAUUGCGUUACGACGAACUAACUGCGAAAGCAUUUGCCAAAGAAUGUUUUCAUUGAUCAAGAACGAAAGUAAUGGGGAUCGAAGACGAUCAGAUACCAU